CGAGUCUUUGAACGCAAGUUGCGCCCGAAGCCAAUAGGCCGAGGGCACGCCUGCCUGGGUGUCACGC
Molecule: ribosomal RNA, 67 nt
Filed under: Billburttia capensoides
Lineage: Eukaryota; Viridiplantae; Streptophyta; Magnoliopsida; Apiales; Apiaceae
Description: partial 5.8S ribosomal RNA
Source: RNAcentral